AAUUCGCCCUUAGAGUUUGAUCAUGGCUCAGAUUGAACGCUGGCGGCAUGCCUUACACAUGCAAGUCGAACGGUAACGCGGGGCAACCUGGCGACGAGUGGCGAACGGGUGAGUAAUAUAUCGGAACGUGCCCAGUCGUGGGGGAUAACUGCUCGAAAGAGCAGCUAAUACCGCAUACGACCUGAGGGUGAAAGCGGGGGAUCUUCGGACCUCGCGCGAUUGGAGCGGCCGAUAUCAGAUUAGGUAGUUGGUGGGGUAAAGGCCUACCAAGCCGACGAUCUGUAGCUGGUCUGAGAGGACGACCAGCCACACUGGGACUGAGACACGGCCCAGACUCCUACGGGAGGCAGCAGUGGGGAAUUUUGGACAAUGGGGGCAACCCUGAUCCAGCCAUGCCGCGUGCGGGAAGAAGGCCUUCGGGUUGUAAACCGCUUUUGUCAGGGAAGAAAUCCUUUGGGCUA
RNAcentral lists this ribosomal RNA (461 nucleotides) under uncultured bacterium. Its description in RNAcentral is "bacterial SSU rRNA". It matches the Rfam family "Bacterial small subunit ribosomal RNA", at positions 1 to 462 of the family's 1533-position model. The record is from RNAcentral.